CGGUCAUCCCCCCUAUGUUGUUCAAAGCUGUAUUCUUUCGAGCAAUUCCAAACCCUUGCAGGCCCGGCUGAUCCCAAAGCUCCCAGCUUGAAAGAUCAAUCCACAGCAAGCCGCUUGCACCAAGCCCGCGAACUGCCGUGCAGAGGAUCUCGAACAACAAUGCAGCUCCUAGAUUAGAGCUACUUUUCAGGAUGGGUCAUAUCUCGGGCGAUUAACUUCCGAAAUUACACCUCUCAAGCUUACGAAAUAAUUAUGGCGCGUCCUGCGUAGAUACGAGGUUUCAGAACUGACGUUACUCAGCUACCGGAUCGACAUCAGUGGUUUCGAACCUCACUUACGGCAUUACCGAUUUCUAGUGCUUUUUCUUCUUUUUAGAAAAACAAGGGCUGCUAACAUCACCGAAGGAAGUUGGUGUCUCCCCCGAGGGGAGGAGGGCAAAGCUCGGAGGGGGAAACGGUCCGCUCUAUCUACUUCCCGACUAUUUCUUCCUUUGAGGAAAUAGAGUAAGGGAAGACCUUACUUGCUGCUACUGAGCUUCUUUUUCUGUUGUUUUUUUCUUACUUUUCUGUUGUUCUUUUCUUACUCUACUAUCCUUGUUGCGAGCUUUUUGCCUUAUUCUUACUAAUCUCUGCCAGAGCACCUUUUCUAGUCCAGAUGGUUUUCUUAAAGGGUUUCAUAGCAUAUCCACUAGUAACCCUUCCUACAACAUUACACUGAGCAAUAGGACCCGAUAAACGCGCUUUAUUGAGGCUUCUGUUUCUUGUAAGACUAUAGUAGCUAGGCCUCCUCUACCGUCCCGCUGAACACCGACCCAAACUGCCGCUUCCCCGAGGGCCAAAGCUCAGCUUUGGUUCACCUCCCCGGGGGGUGUUUGGAACUAUCUUCCUUGCGGUUAAUAGCUUUCUUUUUGCCUUAGACCACAAAAGGUAUAAGAGAGACUGUUUUACGAGACUGUCCCCUGCUAGCGAUACCAGAAUAAAAAUAUCCGGAGCCGUGUCUUGCUGGAAUUCAGUCCGAAAAAGCACUGUAGCUCCCCACAAAAUGAGGGUAGGCUGUCUCUCUCCGACCCGACUAUUUCUUCCUUUGAGGAAAUAGAGUAAGGGUCGACCUUCUUCCGGAAAAAGAGGGCUUGCUCGCCCCCGUCUUUCCUUUCGUCUUUUGCGCAAACCAAACACCCCACAUUCCCGGGUAUGGAGCCACCUUCUUCACCCCGACAUGCUACUUCCAUAGGCCACUGAAAGCCUAGGGGAUGGUACCUCAGAACCACCCAGCUUCCACAGUAGUCCCGGUAGCAACCCGACUUGCUGGAAAAAGGUUCGCCUUCUUGUACUGAAGCGAGUAGAGGAAGU
RNAcentral lists this long non-coding RNA (1349 nucleotides) under Panax ginseng (ginseng). Its description in RNAcentral is "long non-coding RNA (PGIN_LNC004598)". The record is from RNAcentral. Lineage: Eukaryota; Viridiplantae; Streptophyta; Magnoliopsida; Apiales; Araliaceae.